GAAAUGACUGCUAAUACCGCAUACGCCCUACGGGGGAAAGGAGGGGAUGCUUCGGCACCUUUUGCUAUUCGAUGAGCCCGCGUGAGAUUAGCUAGUUGGUGGGGUAAUGGCCCACCAAGGCGACGAUCUCUAGCUGGUCUGAGAGGAUGAAUCAGCCACACUGGAACUGAGACACGGUCCAGACUCCUACGGGAGGCAGCAGUGGGGAAUAUUGCACAAUGGGCGAAAGCCUGAUGCAGCCAUGCCGCGUGUGUGAAGAAGGCCCUAGGGUUGUAAAGCACUUUCAGUCGGGAGGAAAGGGAUAAGAUUAAUACUCUUGUUCUAUGACGUUACCGACAGAAGAAGCACCGGCAAACUCCGUGCCAGCAGCCGCGGUAAUACGGAGGGUGCAAGCGUUAAUCGGAAUUACUGGGCGUAAAGCGCGCGUAGGCGGCUUGUUAAGUUGGAUGUGAAAGCCCUGGGCUCAACCUGGGAACUGCAUUCAAAACUGGCAAGCUAGAGUACAGUAGAGGGUGGUGGAAUUUCCUGUGUAGCGGGUGAAAAUGCGUAGAUAUGGGAAGGAACAUCA
RNAcentral lists this ribosomal RNA (568 nucleotides) under uncultured bacterium. Its description in RNAcentral is "bacterial SSU rRNA". It matches the Rfam family "Bacterial small subunit ribosomal RNA", at positions 153 to 711 of the family's 1533-position model. The record is from RNAcentral.